RNAcentral lists this ribosomal RNA (494 nucleotides) under uncultured bacterium. Its description in RNAcentral is "partial 16S ribosomal RNA". It matches the Rfam family "Bacterial small subunit ribosomal RNA", at positions 28 to 507 of the family's 1533-position model. The record is from RNAcentral.
GACGAACGCUGGCGGCGUGCUUAACACAUGCAAGUCGAACGGUGAAGCGCCUUCCUUUUUGGUGGGUGUGGAUGAGUGGCGAACGGGUGAGUAACACGUGAGUAACCUGCCCCCUUCUUCUGGAUAACCGCAUGAAAGUGUGGCUAAUACGGGAUAUUCUGGGUCUGUCGCAUGAUGGGUCUGGGAAAGAUAUUGUUUCGGUGGGGGAUGGGCUCGCGGCCUAUCAGCUUGUUGGUGGGGUGAUGGCCUACCAAGGCGGUGACGGGUAGCCGGCCUGAGAGGGUCGACGGUCACAGUGGUGCUGCGACGCGGCGCAGACUCCGACGGGAGGCAGCAGGGGGUAUUAGUGCACAAUGGGCGGAAGGCUGAUGCAGCGACGCCUCGGGAGAGAUGGAGGCCUUCGGGUUGUGAACCUCUUUCGCCAGUGAAGCAGGCCUGCCUCGUUUGUGGGUGGGUUGACGGUAGCUGGAUAAGAAGCGCCGGCUAACUACGUG